This is a long non-coding RNA of Manis javanica (Malayan pangolin), 815 nucleotides long. RefSeq lists it as uncharacterized. Lineage: Eukaryota; Metazoa; Chordata; Mammalia; Pholidota; Manidae. The record is from RefSeq and is a predicted model, not a curated record.
AAUGCCACACCUCCAACCCAGAUUGUAUUCCAGUUAAUCACAUGACUGACCAGUAACUAGACUGAAACUGUUUAGCUCUUACGUAACAGCCUGAAGUGCCUAGAACUUGGUUUAAUGAUUAUCUGAAUGUUUAAAGUCUCUUUUCUCUGUGUACAUAUAUAUAUGUGUGUGUGUGUGUGGUCUUAAUGCUUAUGGGUAACCAUGUCAUAAGAUUAUUCAAUUUAAAAAUUAGGUAACCAAAGGAGAGGGGUGCUGGAAGCAGCAAUAAGAGGUUAAGUAAAUUACCCAAGGCCAUGGAGCAGAUGAGUGAGAAACCUGGGAGUGGAUCCAGGACUCUUAACGGCACUGGCUGAAUGCUUGUAUUAGAAGUUCAUUUGGCUGCGAGAUGCAUCAGGGAGCUGUUUGGGUCCCAGUUUUCUUAUCUACAAAAUGGUCAUGAUGAUCUUGCCUUGGAGGUCUGAUGGGAAAUGGAGCAAGCUAACACCAUGAAAUGCUUAGGAACAGAUUUGAUUGACAAUAGGCACUGAAUAAACACUCCCUCCCAAGUAGAAGCAACUGUGUGUAGAGUCGUCCUAGCAGCUUAAACAAACCACAGGGGUUCAAGAAGAUUAAAUGACUAUCACAGAAACAAAAUAAUUAUCUGUUACAAGGUUCAGACUGCUUUGUUCUUUUAUUUAUCAGAUUAAAAUCAGAAAUUUUCAAUCCAGUUUCAAAAGGAUUAUUCAGACAGAAUUCCUGAAAAAAAAGUCAUCUUCUGAAUUUUAUAGCCAUUUCUUGAUUUAAAUGGAAUAAAAAUCUCCAACAUCUUAAUAAUA